RNAcentral lists this ribosomal RNA (803 nucleotides) under uncultured bacterium. RNAcentral describes it as "bacterial SSU rRNA". It matches the Rfam family "Bacterial small subunit ribosomal RNA", at positions 63 to 834 of the family's 1533-position model. The record is from RNAcentral.
CGAGCGAGCGGAACCACAGAUUUACUUCGGUAAUGACGUUGGGAAAGCGAGCGGCGGAUGGGUGAGUAACACGUGGGGAACCUGCCCCUAAGUCUGGGAUACCAUUUGGAAACAGGUGCUAAUACCGGAUAAUAAAGCAGAUCGCAUGAUCAGCUUUUGAAAGGCGGCGUAAGCUGUCGCUAAGGGAUGGCCCCGCGGUGCAUUAGCUAGUUGGUAAGGUAACGGCUUACCAAGGCGACGAUGCAUAGCCGAGUUGAGAGACUGAUCGGCCACAUUGGGACUGAGACACGGCCCAAACUCCUACGGGAGGCAGCAGUAGGGAAUCUUCCACAAUGGACGCAAGUCUGAUGGAGCAACGCCGCGUGAGUGAAGAAGGUUUUCGGAUCGUAAAGCUCUGUUGUUGGUGAAGAAGGAUAGAGGUAGUAACUGGCCUUUAUUUGACGGUAAUCAACCAGAAAGUCACGGCUAACUACGUGCCAGCAGCCGCGGUAAUACGUAGGUGGCAAGCGUUGUCCGGAUUUAUUGGGCGUAAAGCGAGCGCAGGCGGAAAAAUAAGUCUAAUGUGAAAGCCCUCGGCUUAACCGAGGAACUGCAUCGGAAACUGUUUUUCUUGAGUGCAGAAGAGGAGAGUGGAACUCCAUGUGUAGCGGUGGAAUGCGUAGAUAUAUGGAAGAACACCAGUGGCGAAGGCGGCUCUCUGGUCUGCAACUGACGCUGAGGCUCGAAAGCAUGGGUAGCGAACAGGAUUAGAUACCCUGGUAGUCCAUGCCGUAAACGAUGAGUGCUAAGUGUUGGGAGGUUUC